Molecule: ribosomal RNA, 253 nt
Filed under: uncultured bacterium
Lineage: Bacteria
Description: partial 16S ribosomal RNA
Rfam family: Bacterial small subunit ribosomal RNA
Source: RNAcentral
UACGUAGGGUGCAAGCGUUAUCCGGAUUCACUGGGUUUAAAGGGUGCGUAGGAGGGCAGGUAAGUCAGUGGUGAAAUCUCCGAGCUUAACUUGGAAACUGCCGUUGAUACUAUCUGUCUUGAAUAUUGUGGAGGUGAGCGGAAUAUGUCAUGUAGCGGUGAAAUGCUUAGAUAUGACAUAGAACACCAAUUGCGAAGGCAGUUCGCUACACAUAUAUUGACUCUGAGGCACGAAAGCGUGGGGAUCAAACAGG